RNAcentral lists this ribosomal RNA (231 nucleotides) under uncultured bacterium. Its description in RNAcentral is "partial 16S ribosomal RNA". It matches the Rfam family "Bacterial small subunit ribosomal RNA", at positions 103 to 334 of the family's 1533-position model. The record is from RNAcentral.
CGGGUGAGUAACGCGUGGGUAACCUGCCUCAUACAGGGGGAUAACAGUUAGAAAUGACUGCUAAUACCGCAUAAGCGCACAGUACCGCAUGGUACAGUGUGAAAAACUCCGGUGGUAUGAGAUGGACCCGCGUCUGAUUAGCUAGUUGGUGGGGUAACGGCCCACCAAGGCGACGAUCAGUAGCCGACCUGAGAGGGUGACCGGCCACAUUGGGACUGAGACACGGCCCAG